This is a long non-coding RNA of Tympanuchus pallidicinctus (lesser prairie-chicken), 4846 nucleotides long. RefSeq lists it as uncharacterized. The transcript has 3 exons. NCBI's taxonomy places the organism in Eukaryota, Metazoa, Chordata, Aves, Galliformes, Phasianidae. The record is from RefSeq and is a predicted model, not a curated record.
CAGAAACACAAGCUGAGACUUGCAUUGCUGCUGCUCCAUGCCUCAGCACGGAAGCACAGUGGUAUCUCCUCUCCUGACAGCGGUUCAAUCAUAGAGCAGGGGCUGCUGCAGGUAGAUGAGAUCGUUGUGCGACUGACUCAUUCCUGGAUCCUUCUGAUGGUGGCGUCGACGGAAAAAGAGCUUUGCACUCUUUCUCAAGAUCCCACCUGUGAAAGCAAAGAGCAGAGGCAAAGGCGCUUUAGACAAACCAGACUGCUUUCUUCUAGCCUGCAGCUUCAGCUAUGACUGCAUCACUACUGAAGAAAGCCUUUGUCUCAGCAUUUUGAGCUUAAGCACCACUCUCAUAACAAAUUAAACUACGUUAGGAAGCUAAGAGAGUGGUGAAUUCAGAGCCACAGUAUUGAUGAUCUGUAACUGAGAGGAUGCAAGGGUACGAGUCCCGUGCUGGAACGAAGGGAUUUCGGAUACUGGCAAAGGUAUCAUGCAAACUGAAUCACUUGGAUUCAUGACAGACGGCGGCAGUACUAGAUCUAUGCAUAUGUCCAUGCUCUUACAGUCAGCAGAAGAGUUGAGAAGAGCUCACGUGUAUUUUGCUAGGGGAGCACUAAAGAAGUUCUUUCCUUCUAUUCUCUCUGAAAUGAUGCAGGUGAAAAGGAAGGAAAGCUGCUAUGCAGCUAUGAGGAAUUAAACAUUAAUCCUCCAAUUUCAACUUUGAAUUCACACAUCUUGUGGAAGUCACCUUCCUUCUACUUUGUUUCUAAUGCUCCUCUGAAAGCUACAGCAGUGUUCACACGUACACAUGCACAGCUCUUAGGGUGGCUUGUAUGCUGGAUUCCCAAAUGUCAAACAGGCACAUUCCAUCCUUCCAGUGCAAUAAAAGUACAAAGUAUUUUAUUAAAAGAUAGAGGAAGAAACGUUACUCUGUAGUUUCAGCAAUCAAUGGAGCUGAAAAGAUUAGCCCAUUACACACAAAGUGAAGGAGGCAUUUUGACAUGGAGGAUCCUGCUGAUGCCUGAAGUCAGUAGCUGUAUGUCAGCCCACAUGCAGCAGGCUCAAACAGUCAGACUGCCCGUCUUCCACAUGAAUUCGGCAGCAUAACCUAGAGCAGCAAUCAUUUGCUGGUUUAAAACACUGUUGGAAAUAACAAUUCACCUCAAGCAUAUUAAAAGUAGUAUUAUGUCUGCUUCCAAUAAGCUCAGAAAUUUGCCCAAAUCCCUUCUGUGGCAAAUUAGUCCAGAUUCUUUUAUAUACCCUUCCUCUUGAUUCCAUAUCUAGCUGCCAUUGCCUUGGCUGCAUAUCUCCACACUAUGGACUCAUGUUGGCAACACAAGACAUCAGUGGUCUUCCUUCUUUACAAGCCCUACAUGGUUUUGCAGCCAGCAUUCUGCCAGCUCCCACCUUCCAUUUUCCCAUGCGCCGUGUGCCUGAGGCACAAGGAAGGCUGCCUGCUCUUGGUACAACAGCCCAACGUCAAAAUAGCAAGAGUUCAGUGCACAACUGGGCAGUGCUGCUGUCGCAGUGACACAAGCCAGUUUGAACGAAGGAGGACCCAGGCAGCAAGCCAGCAGAGGGAGCCUUCUGGCACUCAGACAGGUACAUGAGGACAGUCAUCUUCCUGGCUAAGCUUCCACAACUUGUUUCCACACAACCAUCAGCUUUCCUUACUUUUCCUCUGUUUAACUAUCAGAUCCUGUCACUGCACAGUCUCAGCUCUGCUUCUCCUCCCGUUGUAAACAGAUACAAAAUGCAACACGCAGACCCAUUCUUGCAUGUGACUGUGCAACAGCAAGGAUCACAUCACUGUCAUCUAAGGACUGGGCCCAGGCUGCGUGUCAUUUUGCACAGCAACAGCUGCAGAAUAGGCAGUUCACAGCAGCCUUGUUUCAUGCAGCCAGAAGCUGCUCUGUUCAGACUGGAACAGUUACAGACACGUGCUCAGCAUUAUUACUUUUUUAUUUUAAGGACUGAGCACUCAGCAUCUGCAAAGACACUCCAGCGCAUUUUGUCUUGCUGUGGCCAAGACAUGGGCCACGAUGGGAUUGAUGCAGGAGUCAGCUGAAAGCAACUGGAACGCACAGACCUGAAUCUUGUCUGCUCUCCCAUCACCCUCUGAUUGAUCAUUUUGGCAAAGCAGCACCACUUCAAGCCGUUGUCAACAGCAUAAAAGAAACAGUGUUUUGCCCCUGAUACUGACAGUUGUUAAUAUGCAGGGGCUGGGGAGGUUGCUGAGGCACUGCUGCUGUGUGGCUUUUGUUUUAGCCCUCAGCUGCUCUGCCCAGCAGCGUUGGCAGCUGCAGCUGAAGCUGUGCCAGCAGGAGGAGCAGGACAAAGGAGCUUAUCUGUAAACAGCUUUUUUGUCCUAUCCAUUCACUGAUUUUCCAUCCUAACAAACAGAACCAAACCAAGAAUGCUUAGAACUUGUGCUGGUGGUCCAGGACAACUUGUUGCAGCUGAAAAAAAAAAAAAAAUGCAGGCUGCACUUCCCUGAGAACAGCACAGCCUCAUCAGUGGCUGCAGCCCCCAAGGUGAAAGCUCCUUGUGUUUUCAGAGGUACUGAGAUUGCUAGUAGCUGGAAGUUUGUAUCACCCACUGCUACCCACUGGUCUCCAGCCAGCUGGGUGUGUGCCGCCUGACAGUGGCUCCAGCACUGAGGAGGCACCCCUGUAAGAAGGCAGGCUACAGAGCAAAUAAACUCAGUGAUGCUUGUGCUGUUUACAUGCUUACUUCUUGAGUUCAAUGUGAUGCAUGUGCCAAACUCGGCUCCCAACACCAGGAGAUAAGCAGAGAGCACCUCAAGAAUGCUGUACAGACUAGCUGGUCUUCACAGGCUCCUGAGGGCCAGCUCAGGCUGUUCUAACUGGCUGGUCGGGUUGGGGUCACUCCUGAAUCUCUUUUUUUUUAUUGAAGGACGAUUUCCUUCCACAUCUACAAGGAUGUGAAUAGAGACUGCUUCUUUCCAUUCCUUCCUGACUCCAGAACAGUUUUUAAUCGAGGUGUCUGUGAAGUGCUUGUAGCUUUAGGAGUUCAGCUAGAAAGGAAAUCUAUAUAACUGUAAGCAGCAGUUUUUAAAAUAAGUAUUCCGUGUAUGCAUAUCCAGUUAUGAGGUCACACAUGGGUUUGCAUGAGCAGAUGUUCAACAGGAAUGGGCAUGAUGGAGAGAGAGCAGGAGCACACAGCACCCCUCCAAGCCUUCCUUGAAGCCUGUUCUGCAUGACCCACUUAGCCAGCACAUCCACCAGUGGAAUGAUUUGUCUGGGCAGACAAAGCUGCUAAGGCAUCUGAGCACAGGAAGGCAGUUUGCAGGAGGAAAGAAAUGGAUGGGGAAGAAAACAGGUGCCAAACUACAUUUUGCUCUGAUUUUUACAAUGAGCGCAUCAUUGUAAAGCUACGCUUUCUUUAAAAGAUAAGACAAAAGCAACUUACUGUGUAGGUAAUUAAUUCUGGCUGGCACAGUGGUCCUCUUAAGUUUAUAAAAGGGAACGGGUAAGAAACAGGAAGUCAGAAAAGCGAAGAACAAAAGGUAUUCUAGAGUAGAAAUCAUAGUGAAAGACAAUGCUAACUUUAAGACAUUCAUACCAUUCAGGAAGGUUUUUAAAGCAGAAAAGUGUUUGCUUUUUUUUGUUGUUGCUGUUUUUGUUGCUGUUCUUGUUUUUCAAAGGGAAAGGGAAUUAUUUUUGACAAAAAAAAAAAAGUCAAAGUACUCAAAGCUAACCAAGGGAAAGGAAGUAGAAAAGUUUUCUUAUCUCACUCCAUUGAACUCACUCAGCUGUGAGCAGAGGUUCAAAACUUCCACAGAGAGAUCUGUAAGGGAUUUUAGACAGUUUUAGAAAACAUUUUUAAAGCUGAGACAAUUUGUUCUUUCUAGCAGUCCUGCCCUACAUUGCACAAAGUAAACUUUCAGAAGCCUGACCUCUCUGCAACACACUGCGCAUGGAAAAGCAAAAGUAAACAGUUCACCUACAAGCUUCCACUUGCUUGAUUUAGAGUAAAACAUUAAAGAGUCCAGAGGUUUUCCAGAAUCUCAUAGAGCUCCCUAAAUUUCUUCAGGCUCCAAACAAGUCAAAUUACUUAGUGCUUAAGUUCACCUAAAUCCAUUCCAAACAGUCUAAUGCCUGACCAUCUUGGCCAAACUGAUGGUUGCUGUGCCAUCCUGAACUAUCAGAUGGAACAACAGACUUGUGAAAAGACCAGAAGACAUCAAGGCUUGGUGAAGAGGUCUAGUGCAUAUGUGAGAUGCAUUAGAAUCACAGAAUCACUAAGGUUGGAAAAGACCUCUAAGAUCACCUGGUCCAACCAUCAGCCCACCCCCCAGCAUGCCCACCAACCAUGGCCCCCAGUGCCAUGUUCACACGGCUCCAGGGAUCACAGAACUGUAGGGGUUGGAAGGGACCUCCAGAGAUCAUCGAGUCCAACCCCCUGCCAAAGCAGGUUCCCUACAGCAGGUUGCACAGGUAGGCAUCCAGGCAGGUCUUGAACAUCUCCAGAGAAGGAGACUCCACCACCUCCCUGGGCAGCCUGUUCCAGUGCUCCGUCACCUCACUGUAAAGAAGUUCUUGUGCACAUUUGUGCAGAACUUCCUAUGCUGCAGUUUCCGGCCGUUUCCCCUUGUCCUGUCUCCAUUCACCACUGAAAAGAGUCCAUCCUCACCAUUCUGCCCCCCACACCUUGGAUACUUAUAGACCUGGAUCAGGUCCCCUCUCAGUCUUCUUUUCUCAAGGCUGAACAGACCCAGUUCACUCAGCCUUUCUUCAUAGGAGAGAUGCUCCAGGCCCUUCACCAUCUUUGUGGCCCUCCGCUGGACUCUUUCCAAGAGAUCCCUGUCUUUUUUGUACUGGGGAGCCCAGAA